UGGUUUCUGAGUGUGGUUUUAGAAGAAUAUAUAGGCUGUUUUCACUGCUGUACGUCAAACUAAAAAAAGAACAAUACCUGUCAAAUUUUGACGAGGGUACAAUAGACCUGUCAAAAAAAGGGUUGACGAGGGUAAAAUAAAGGUCAAUAAAUCUGUCAAAAAUAGUUGAUGAAUAGACAAUAGAACUAUAAUGAUCUAAUAUAUUCGCGCAUUUUAACAGUUGUUAUGUCACUAUAUCGUGAGAAAGUUUUCUCCCACACUAAACACAAUGGUCAACCAUACAAAAGGUUCGUUUGGUAGUAUACAAUAGAAUCUUAAAGAGCCAACAUACUUUAGCAUUUUAACAAAUUAGCUGUCAGGACAUCGUGAGAAAAUCUUCACCCACUCAUCAGACAAAAGUGCCUGAUAAAAAAUUCUCAAAAGGUUCUAUAAAUCAAACUUAGUUACACGAUCCAUUGUAUCAUAAUGUUCCUAUAUAAUUGGUCGUUACAUCGAAUU
Long non-coding RNA from Bradysia coprophila, 498 nucleotides. The record is from RefSeq and is a predicted model, not a curated record. NCBI's taxonomy places the organism in Eukaryota, Metazoa, Arthropoda, Insecta, Diptera, Sciaridae.